This 468-nucleotide ribosomal RNA is filed under the name uncultured bacterium. RNAcentral's name for it is "partial 16S ribosomal RNA". It matches the Rfam family "Bacterial small subunit ribosomal RNA", at positions 28 to 507 of the family's 1533-position model. The record is from RNAcentral.
GACGAACGCUGGCGGCGUGCUUAACACAUGCAAGUCGAACGGAAAGGCCCUGCUUUUGUGGGGUGCUCGAGUGGCGAACGGGUGAGUAACACGGGAGUAACCUGCCCUUGACUUUGGGAUAACUUCAGGAAACUGGGGCUAAUACCGGAUAGGAGCUCUUGCUGCAUGGUGGGGGUUGGAAAGUUUCGGCGGUUGGGGAUGGACUCGCGGCUUAUCAGCUUGUUGGUGGGGUAGUGGCUUACCAAGGCUUUGACGGGUAGCCGGCCUGAGAGGGUGACCGGCCACAUUGGGACUGAGAUACGGCCCAGACUCCUACGGGAGGCAGCAGUGGGGAAUAUUGCACAAUGGGCGGAAGCCUGAUGCAGCAACGCCGCGUGCGGGAUGACGGCCUUCGGGUUGUAAACCGCUUUCGCCUGUGACGAAGCGUGAGUGACGGUAAUGGGUAAAGAAGCACCGGCUAACUACGUG